This 53-nucleotide transfer RNA is filed under the name Bredia hispida. Its description in RNAcentral is "partial tRNA-Val". Lineage: Eukaryota; Viridiplantae; Streptophyta; Magnoliopsida; Myrtales; Melastomataceae. RNAcentral also lists the same sequence under 5 other names. The record is from RNAcentral.
CAUUGGCGCACGUGUAAACGAGGUGCUCUACCUAACUGAGCUAUAGCCCUUGU